AUGGGGAUUAUGACUGGAUUGAGAAAUAUUUUAGGACACUUCCAGACUGGUUUAGAACUUCGGGAGGUUCAGGUUCAUUUGUACACAAGCACAGGAGGACACCAGCCCCAUGCGAAGCCCAGGGGUCAUACUCGUUCUUCUGUAGAAGAUUAUCUGCAUAAUUUUGUGACACCUGAACUGUGUGUAUUCCUUCAGGUAGACAUUCCUGAAAUCUCUACUUGGGCUAAUGGCCUUUCCUCUGAGUUCCCUUCUGCUGUCAUGAUCAACACAGUGAGUGGAAUAGGAGGAUCUCAAUAUCUAGUUGUCUUCACUUGGAAAAAAUCAUACUCGUCUCAGACCAUUGUCUUCCAUAACUCCAUCUGGUUUUUGGAAGUGAAUCAUGUAGACCGCUCAUUCUUCUUUAAUCCUCUCACAUCUUGUUGCAGUAAACAAAUCCCUGCUAAAUGUUAAUUCAGGCUCUCCUCCUUCAUCCUGGAAAUGGAAUCAAGAGAAAAGAAACUGCCCUCGACUGCAUUUUUAUUUGGAAGACUUAUUUCUUUUCCUAAAGACUUUUAUUUGGAAGACUUAUUUCUUAUCCCAAUUCCCUCGUUUCUCCCCACUUCUUUCAGAUACAUUUUCCAUGUGUAAAGUCUCCAGCCUGGACCAAUAUCACCACUCAUCUAUGGUUUCCAAAACUCUAGCUACCACCAGCAAAGAGCCCCAAGUGCCACAGACACUGUAACUUACCUGCUGGUAAACUGUUCCCUGGAUGUUGGUAUAUACAUUUCUUACCUCUCCAGUUAGAGUGUAAAUUCCUUUAGCUCAAGAAUGAGUCUGCUCUAUGAUUGUCAAAUACCAUACCCGGUGGGUGAUAAAAUCCAUUUAGGAAGUUGUGACCGACACUAAAAAUAAAUCAAAUAUAAGCAAAAAGAAGAUAGAUAUC
This 922-nucleotide long non-coding RNA is filed under the name Felis catus (domestic cat). RNAcentral describes it as "lncRNA (ENSFCAG00000051807.1)". Lineage: Eukaryota; Metazoa; Chordata; Mammalia; Carnivora; Felidae. The record is from RNAcentral.